CUCAAUUGAGUCUGCUCCAACGCACUGUAAUUACAGCGUGUCAGAGCAGCCUCCCUGCAUGUGUAUAGGCGCCCCAAGUCUCCAAUCCUAUAAUGACUUCGUUUCAUACACAGUUAAGUACUGAAAUUUCCUCUUCCCAUUGAAGUCAGUGGCAAAAUUCCUGUUGACUUCAGUUGAAAUAGGAUGAGAUCUUCCAUUAGGAGAUUAACUUGAAAGCUGUAUGUGCUUUUCAUCUUUUUAAAUUUAUUUUGGCAUGAUAUAGAUCAUGUUCAUGUGUAGAGCAGACUCAGUUUGAUAAGGCAGGAGAAAUGUGCAAUAUACCCCACCUUUGAAGGCCCCUGAAAUUUUAGAGGCUCUGUAAUGCCUCUGCAUGAUGGCUUAGGGCACUGAGCAUUUGCUUAUGGAACAUGGUGUUCCCAAAGGGCUGUGAUUUGAUUCUGCAGUACUGAGGCAUGUCUUGUGUGGACAGGCAUUGUAUCUGCAGACUUGAAAGCAAGCUCCAAGGUAUGGGUUUUGUUUCACUUAUGGCUACUUGAUUCUCUCUCCUAAUUCACCUCCCAGUCCCUUUAAGAGAUUCACAGUAUGUGGAUUUAAUCAUACCUUGUAUAUUUUCCCUGUUAUUCACUGGUGAAUGGCCUGAGACUGGCGAAAUCUUCCUAGAAGAGAGUACGCUAGCAGACAGUACUUACAUAUCUCCUAAGAGACUUCUGGAAAGUAUGUUAGAACUUUUUUUGACAUUUUAACAUUUUAAUUUUUAUGUACUUGUUGAUGCUGCUAUUUUAGCCAUGAAGAGUUUGACUUGGAAGCUUCAUCCCUAGAUUCUGACGUCUUUGGCAUCUUUCUUUUGUAGGGGCUUCCUAAGUUAUUUGAACCACAGGUGGAUUUUUUCCCCCUAAACGUUGUAGGGCUGGAGCCAAAGCUAGGAGGAUCAGACCCGUAUUUUCUAGCGCUUAUGUAAAGAAUAUGAUUAAAUUUGGUUCCAAAAUUAAUUCUUUUUGAUUAUUUCAUUUGUUUAAAACUAAACGUAGAGGAGCUAUUACAUACCAUCUCCAUUUCAUUUUUCUUUUGUGAGGAUUGGUGUACAAGGAUUAGUGACAGUGACAAAUACACUUGAUUUAUUUAUGUAAUAUAAUUUAAUUUAUGUUGUUAUAACACUGAGUAAAACAAAGAUUAUUGUUCUUAAACGUUAUUGCCCCUCCCCUUCACAUGGCAUUUAUUGUAUCAAAAUAUGAAACUGGUACUGUAUUUGUGCAUAUGGUCCUGGACAAGGAGGCUCUGAUUCAUUUAACCAUGCAAGUGUGUGCUUAAAUUUUAAAUGUGCUCAAAUUCAUUUUUAUGCAGCAAAGCAGUUAUGAGCGUGCUUAAGUCCCAGUGGCAUCCACAGGAUUUAAGCAUGCAGGCUUAAGUGUUUUGCUGAGUUGGGAGUAGGAAAAGCUAGAUUGUAUACGUGAGUGCACAAGAAGGGAGUAGUGGGGAGUACACCUAUGUCUAUAGUGCAGGUGCAGUACAGCUCUCGUUGCAGUGUGCAGUCUCCCAGAAGUGCCAAGAGAAUCCUGAUUGCGUCUGCUCAGGGUCUUCAGGGAUCUUCAGUUGUGACACCCCCAACAUGGGCUUAAAGCAUGCAAAGGCGUCGUACUGAAACAUCAGUAUUUCAAAUGAGUUGCUCAGAGACUUGAGCUUAGUCAGAAUUCAAAGGGAGCAGCCGCAGCGGCUGAAACUACCACUGUUCAUGGUUAUUUAUUGCUGCUGCUGCCCAAUAAAAGACAGAGCGCUGCAGUAAUUCACUGACUUCUGUGGAGCUAACUGAGACUGACAUUGGGGAGCUGAGCCCAGAGUCUGGCACUUAGUACAAGGCUGAACAUGCAUCUCUGCAGUUUAGCAAUGGCAACAAAAAGUGCAAACAAAGCCAAAAGGCAGAACAGUAUUGUUGCUUUUAGAUAACUAAAAGCAAGUGAGUGAUUGGAUUUUUCAGUGAGGAAGAAAGCUGAGCUAUAUAUAUUUUUACAGGGAGAAAAGGUAGAUUUAAGGCUUAUAGAGAGGAGGCAGCAGUUUUCUCUGGCCUUUUUCAAAGGGCAAGGGAAAGCGCUAUAAUUUUCCAUGUUCACAUUCCUCCUCCGGGUCUCUUCUCACUUUUCACAGAUGUUAAGGUUAAAAGGAACGGUUAGGAUCAUUCAGUCUGAGCUGAAUAAGGUAGACCAGGGAAUUUUAUUCCCUUCUUUUCACCCCUGCCCUCUCUUUUAUUGCUACAAAAGUCAGUAGACACCCCUGCUACCACCGUUUGGUCAGUUUGAGGAACUGUGCUUAUUUUUUAUCAUAGAGCAGCACCGGACGCAGUGCAGCAAGAGGUAGGCAGGGGUGGGCCAGAGGUCUGUAUGCCUAGGGAAGCCUUCUGGUUAGGGUACAACGACUCAGCGUGAACUUGAGAAGGUCAUUUAACCUCUCUCUGCCUCACCUCUACCAUCUAGAAAAGGGGUAUAAAACUCCUUCCCACCUUAGAGUGGGUUGUGAGACUUAGUCAAUGUUUAUAGAGCACUCCUCCCACUUGAAGUUAUGCAAGAUGUGUUUAUUAUAUCAUAGAGUUUUUAUACUCUGGAGAGGGGAAGGCUGUUGAACCAGCCUCAUAGUGGGAUUUUUUUCUCGUAAUGUGAUGCAUUUCAAAAAGUGGACUGUGCUGAUGAAAAACUGUUUUAUUAUAUUCCCUAUUCUCCAAAUCAGGCAUGAAGUCUGGCAGAGAUAGUACUAUGGGCUAAUAUUUCAUAACAGAGGUACUCUUCAUGAGCUUAAUUAGUUUCUAACCGUGUCUAUAAUCAUAAUCAAACUGGGAUUGGUUUCAACUAAGGUGCAGUUUUUUAACCAUUUUGUUAAACUUGCAAAACCCUGAGUGGGCACUGAAAUUAAUUUUCUUUAUCUGAUUUUAUCACGGUGCAGCUUUAAAUAUAAAACAUGGCAUCUGUUUACACUAAUAAAUUUCUAAUACCAAUUCAGCCUCAAUUGUACAAACUCUUUGGAAGGUUAAUCUUUAUAUUGGGUCUAAAAAUGAGUUAUCUGUGGGCCAAUAACUAUCUGUUGUGAAAUCAGAUAUGGGAUUUUCAAAUUACUUGGGCAUUCAAGUUUUCAAUGAGGUUUGGGUGUUUCUCUCUCUCUCUAGUGUCCUUUGAAAAUUUCAGUAUCAAUUACUCAAAAAAUCUUAAUGUAAGGACACAAGGAGUCUUAAUAUAGUAUUCCUCUACCUGUAGUGCAUUGUUAUUGCUUUUAUUUUAGCUUUUUUCAUUCUCCCAAAAUUACUGUCGGAAAAUUGUCAUCCUUUCUUUGAAAAACAAAUCUAUUUCUGCAGAUCCAGAUAGGAAUGCAUUUUGCAACAGAGACUUUGUUAUAUCUUGUUUCAUCAGAUAAUCUCCCAACCUAAGAUUUCUUUUUUUUUAAAUAUAGAGAAAUUAUCCUAAUUCCAUCACAGACAGCAAUCUUAAAAUCUGCACACAUAAAAUCAAAUAAUAAAAUAAUGUUCCACUUUCGUAUCACCUUAUCAGAGUGAAAUUUAUUGUUAGGUCGUAUGGCUGUUAGCGUAGCUUAGAGCAAUAUUGUCUUUCUAUUAUGGGACAGGAACAGAUUAAAGGAUUAACAUAUAAUGGAUUAACACUUUCAUCUAUCUAGAAUGCAUUAAAAUACUUUUCUUUACAAGGAUAUCUUCAUAUUGGUAUAUGUAGACAAGUACCUAGACUUGGUAUUGGGUUGAUCCCUAGAGCGGUGGCGAGGAGCAGAAUGAUCAGUUUCUGAGGUCUUUGUGCACUCCACACAUUUUGCACUCAAAACCCUUUCAAAGGUACACUGUAAGAGCAUACUAUUUCUGCAGUUAGAACAACCCACAAAAGAGGGUGCGUAAAUGCAUCAAAAUGUGUUUGGCUCCACAUUUAUGGGAAAACACCUCUUUUCAUAGAUGCAGUUUUGCAAUGCAGCCUUUUGUCACUUCUUACAGUCUUGUUCAAGUUCUAAUUUAGCUAUGUGUCCAACUUGAGAAGCCUUUAAGGAAAUUUCUCUUGUGGAAAAAUAACACGUUUUAUCUGCACAAGGUGGAUUCUUAUCUUUUUUAAGAACUAUAAAUAAAUCUAAGCCUUGUAACUGGAGAGGGAACCUUUUUGUACAAUUUAUCAACUCUGAUACGACCAUACAACUCUGCUGGUACAACGAUAGCAGAGAGCUCUACCAUAUUUUGCAGAUGUGAAUCUGGGCAAGAGUAUGUCAAUAUGAACAUUCUGUUUAAAAAUUCACCAAAUUUUCAGAUACCUAAUGUUAACAUUAGGCAGUAUGAAUGUAUACUCAGUAAUUCAUAAUGUUCCUAACUCUGCCUUGCUCAGAUGUGCAUGCAUACCAUAUCUGCUGUUGUGUAGUGCUUUUCUAGUCUGUGUUCAUGAUAGAGAUUAGUGUCUAUCUGCUGGUAAAUAUGGCAUAUUUAUAUUUCGACAGGAAAGGUCUAUAAACACACCAAACUAAUGAGCCCAUUUUAAAAGAUUGCACUUGUAACUGUUAUUUAGUUUUUCCAGUUGUUUUCCCACCUGUUAAGGACUCCAGCAUGGCAAAAAGAAGAAAUGAGUAUACUAAAAUGUAGCCAUUCCAAUUUGAUGCACAUAACCAGGUCCUAUAAUUGUUGUCCAAAUGAGAAACUUAGACACGUGCAUCAAUAAUCGUGACCUUUGACUUUAGAUAUAGAUUUUUCUGUGGUUCUUUUCAGUGCCUUGAGAUACAUGAAAUAACCUUUAAAAGAGAGACUUUAGGAUUAAAAAAAAAAUCAGGUGCCACAAGGGUCUUUGUAAGACCCACUUAUGUAUUUACAAUGGGAAGCAUAAUUUUAGAAAGGGACUAACUGCAAUGUUUGUAUUUUUCUUUGACUUUCGAGUUUUGUAACUCAUUCAUCAAAACCUUUGUUUUCUGGGGUUUUUUUACCUUGUUUAUCAGAGCACGUGAGGUGUGUGGCAGGACAGUCUUUGACUUUCAAAGGUAAUAGGCAACCCAGAGGCUGUGGUUUUUCUUUGCAUUAAGAGGGAAGGGAUGCUCAUUUGAUUAAUUUGCAAAUUGGGUGCAGUUUAAAUAUUCUGAUUAUGCCACUCAUAUUGAAGACAGUUUUGCCAUUGACUUCAGGGGAUCAGGACCUUCAGGCACUAAUAAGUGGCUCUGACAAUAGUGCUAAGAGAGGAGCUUGAAAAAAUAAUUCAUUCACUUCUCUUCUUUUUUCUGUAGCUCUUAAGGCUUUCUUCCUAGCAGGUGUUUACAUCAGAGCUCAUGCUUGUUAUAAACUCCUUCCUGCAGAGAGCCUCAGUGAACGCGGUAGCUGUGGUCCCCUUGAACUGCGUAAACAAGGGCAAUGAAACAAAGGGAGGAUUUUUCUUUCCUUACUAUGCAUGAAAAAUCUGUCAUGUUGGUUGCAAUGCAUUUCAUGAAAGGAAUGUCACUGCUCCAAGGAACAUAAGAUUACAGCAGAAAAAUUGUAGUUAAAUCUACCUCUGUUGAUGGGCAGUUGCAAUCUCAGUUGUAAUUAUUUUGGCAGGAAGAAAUAGGAACAGAUCCUUUUACAACAGGAGUAACAAAUUCUUUUACAUUUAGAGUUUCCAGGCA
Gavialis gangeticus (Gharial) is the source of this 5607-nucleotide long non-coding RNA. RefSeq lists it as uncharacterized. The record is from RefSeq and is a predicted model, not a curated record. The transcript has 2 exons. Lineage: Eukaryota; Metazoa; Chordata; Crocodylia; Gavialidae.